This is an unclassified non-coding RNA of Anser brachyrhynchus (Pink-footed goose), 171 nucleotides long. The record is from Ensembl. Lineage: Eukaryota; Metazoa; Chordata; Aves; Anseriformes; Anatidae.
AUGAAAAUGCUCACUAUACACUGAAAUCUUCUAUGAAUCAACAAAACAUGUACCAGCAGUACAAACUUCACCUUGCCUAAACAAUGUACAUCUCAAUUCCGACUUGAAAAGACCACCUGUAGGGGAAAAAUGUUAGUUCGGUAUCCAGGGGCCAUUCAUUCCUUUGCCACU